UUCUGAAUUCUUUCCCAGAGGCAGUGACAAAAAUCAAACAUCCGAUGUGUUCUUUACCUUUCAGUAAGCUCAGCCUCCCUGCUUGUGUCACAUCUCUAAACAUACGUACAUGCGUGAUUGAAACUGUCUAUUGAAAGCAAUAUUACAUUAACAUUAUCAAUACUGAAUUAGAGAAAAUAUCUAUCAAUGUCACCAAUUCCACCUGUCUCUUGAUGUAUGACUUUUUACCUGACAGGCUAAAUAACAAUAGAAAGUUCUUUUUAAAAAAUAGAAGAGUUGCUAUGCAGGGACUUUUUUGGAAUUAAGUGCCCCAGAGAACCUAGAAAUGUGCUUUAAAACUUUUUGUUUCACCUGGCAGAUCCAAAAAAAAUUUGGAAGCUUUUGGUUGAAUUCCCUCAUUACUUGAAGUUGUUUUAUGAAAAUUGAAUAUAUAUAUCUGUUAGGUUACCAAGACUUAUGGUUAGCUAUCUUAAUGGCUAGUGAUAUAAGACCUUGUAACAAACCCUACCAAUGGAACUGACAGGAUUUUACCAGGGAGGAUAUUGCAGUACCUGUAAGAGGAAGGGAUACAAAUUGGCACUUCAUACAUUUGUGAGAACAAUUGCCUUUAAUGUGUCUAUUUGGUUUUCAUAAUAUUGCAGGCCUCUGCUCUUGUAAGAAGUUAGCUGCAGAACCCACAUGUGAAUCCUUGUAGGACUCUGGAGAAGAUCAAAUGGGAGCUUAGAUGUGGAAGCUCUUUGGAAACCAAGAAACACUCUGAAAAUGAAAAGGGUGGAAGAGUAAACUGUUCCUGUUUCUCCAUCUUGACAGGAAGCAGAAGUUCUCCUUAGCUGAUUUUUCUUCUUGCCUUAUACUGGGUUCUUUAACACCAGAACAAAAAUAAAUAAAUAAAAGAAUCUUCCAGAAAUUCAUGAAGAGACUUCAGGUCAGGAAAGCCUGAACUUUCUCAUCCAACACCCGUUCAAGUCGGAGGAUGCUGAUUAAUUCAUGAUGGAAAGGUAUCAAUUUCACAGCCCAGACCUCUACAUUCUUGAAAUGCUCUUCUCAUGGGAGACAUUAAAUAAGCUUUGAAUUAACUGACCAAUCAUGAUCUUUAUAGAAAAAUUGGAAGGAAGUACAGAAACAUGUGAAUGGAAAAAUAUCCAACCCGAGCAGGAUAAAACUGAUCAUCCUGAGGAUAUUGCCCUUGGAGUUAAUUUUUUGAGAGAAAUAAAACAAUAAACAUCAUAAGACACAAACCCCAAGCAACUGAUCUCACUGUUAAAAUCCAACCUGAGAACAAUGGAAUGGACCAUACUGUCUUUGUCACAACUCUGCCAUUGCAGCGUGAAAGCAUCCAUAGACGGUACACAAAUGCAUGGAUGUAGUUGUACUCCAGUACAACUGCAAAAAGCAGACAGCUGGCUGGGUUUAGCCUACGGGCCAUAGUUUACACAACUCAAUCUAGGUGAUUGCCUGGUAACUUUGUGAUUGUAAACAGGAAA
This 1484-nucleotide long non-coding RNA is filed under the name Homo sapiens (human). Its description in RNAcentral is "PREDICTED lncRNA (TCONS_00182902)". Lineage: Eukaryota; Metazoa; Chordata; Mammalia; Primates; Hominidae. The record is from RNAcentral.